CCAGUCUUCUUUCCCUUUAAUGCAUUUUUAUUUCCCUGUUGGUAUAGAUUGCCUGAACCUCCAUAAAUCAACAGGGAGGAGAACUCAGUCUUGGAAUUGUUGACGGGGUCAUCAGAGCUAGCCUGGGUUUUGGAGUGAAGAUCUUCAGUUUUGGACACAAUGAAUUCAUCCACAGAAGGAAGAAGACAUUGAGCAAAAUAUCUCAGUGAAAUAAUGGAUUGAGAUGGUAUCAGGAACACCUAAACGGAACAGCAAUUGCUUCUACAUCAAAUGUAAUGUUUCGUGUUUACAGAACCAAAGCAAAACUCAGGUUCCUACGAGAAGAGAAGGAGACAGUUCAGAGUUCUCGUGCUUACGAUGAUCUCUUUGGGCUGAACAGGAUGAAGUGGUAAGAGGACACAUGGAAACAAGUAAUCUUAGCCUUCUGGCCUCCUGUGUGCAGGAGAAAUAGAAUAGCAAAACUUCCUGGGAAGACUGGACACCAGGGUCUUAGGGUGAGCAGGAAACCCAAAGGACCACUGUCCUACUGCCCUGCCAGGAGCACAGGUUCGUGGAUUAUUCCCUGUUUUACUAACAUAAGUUAGCCUGGUUGUGUUUACCCUUUCAGUUCCUCUGCAGAAUGCCCACUUCUAUUUUUAGUUCACAGUCAGAGGCUAGGAGUCAUUUUGGACAUUGGCUGAUCUUGGUGAAGGCUCUACCCUCACCAGACAGUUGUGGUCAAGCAGGCAGAUUCACAGAGUCCAGAG
This 746-nucleotide long non-coding RNA is filed under the name Mustela putorius furo (domestic ferret). RNAcentral describes it as "lncRNA (ENSMPUG00000029090.1)". The record is from RNAcentral. Lineage: Eukaryota; Metazoa; Chordata; Mammalia; Carnivora; Mustelidae.